UUUAUUUUCCCAAAGAUCCUACAACUCUUGAUAGCAGAUCUGUGUCUCAUACUUCUCUUCCUCAGCAAAUGCCUUAAUUAAUUAGCAGUACCUAUUAAGCCCUACAAUGAUUGUUUUUCAGAAGUUUUAAACACUUUUUCCCCUUGAGGAGUGGAAUGAAACAGGGUAGGCAGUGUCCUAUAAUGGAAAAGAUGACUUGAGACAUCGCAGACCUGGGUUUUAACUCUGGUUCUGCUCUUCACCUCUUGCAUGGCAAGUUGUAUAGUUACCGGAUUGUCUGUUUUCUCAUUUGUAAAAUGGCAUGAUAGUGUUACCUUGCAAAAUUAUUAUGAUAAUGGUAUUAUCUUGCAGAAUAAAAUAUCUGGCUCAGGACCUGAAAUGUGUCCUUAGGAAAUGUUAGCUCUUUCAUAAUUACUAUGUGUCAUAAUUGGUUGCCAUAGAAUUUUUUAUGACAUCACUUUUGUAGGGACAAUGUCAGGAUAGGUUCUGUUAAAGUGAAUUAUUUCUCUGUACUUAUGUUUUAUGUCAUGGUUAGUGAGGAGUAUUGGUGAGACUGGCAGAAGGUAGGCAGCCAAGCUGGUGAGUGGAAGGCAUCCAGUAGAGGCUGCAUGGAGUCUUAUUAGGAAUCAUAUCUACUGUGUGAGGAAAGCUGCCUGUGGCACUGAUCUAAAUGAUAAAUGGAGAGAAGUCAAAAGAGACAAGGAAAGGAAUAUGCAGAAGCAAGAGGAUGUUUGGGAAAAGACUGUAAGUCAUUCUUCCACUUGGUUUUGGAAGGGUAACUUACAUGGCUGCCACCAGAAGCUGAUUGUAAAAGCUACAGACAUCACAGCUUUUGUGCCUACUAUUUUUUGCCCCUAUAUCAUAUUGUCCUAUUCCUUACAUCCUAUCGCUCACAGGAAUUUGUUGAACACUAGUUCUUAGCUGGAGAGCUAGAAGUACAAGAUGUGAAUGUGGAGCUCCCUGGCCUGGCCCUAAUGAAGCUUGCUAUCUAAAGAAAAUAUAGUUGACCUUUGAAUAAUAUGGGAUUGAGUGGUAUGGGGCCAUUUACAUGUGGAUUUUUUUUGCAAUAAAAACAAUACCAUAAAUGAUUUUUUCUUCUUU
This 1101-nucleotide long non-coding RNA is filed under the name Vulpes vulpes (red fox). RNAcentral's name for it is "lncRNA (ENSVVUG00000015299.1)". Lineage: Eukaryota; Metazoa; Chordata; Mammalia; Carnivora; Canidae. The record is from RNAcentral.